This is a long non-coding RNA of Aethalodelphis obliquidens (Pacific white-sided dolphin), 937 nucleotides long. RefSeq lists it as uncharacterized. NCBI's taxonomy places the organism in Eukaryota, Metazoa, Chordata, Mammalia, Artiodactyla, Delphinidae. The transcript is spliced from 4 exons. The record is from RefSeq and is a predicted model, not a curated record.
UGUGGGAUCCUCCCGGGACUGGGGGCACGAACCCGCAUCCCCUGCAUCUGCAGGCGGACUCUCAACCACUGCGCCACCAGGGAAGCCCCACAUGUUUUUUUGAUCGUGUGUAUUCACAGCUCUCUGUCUUACUUCAUACUUAAUUCUCUAUCAGGGUUAACACAUUUAUAACUUUCAUUAUUUUGUCAAGUAGUCGUGAUACUACCUGUUUGAAUUGUACUAUUUCCAUAAAAGUCCAUGAGAAAGAAGAAAAAAAGUAAUUGUUAACAGCUAGCAAUGAGACUGUUGAGCAACGAGAAUAAAGAAGCUGGUGGUGAAGCUUGUGCCCAGAUUCAACCUUGGUGAAGAAGUGUUGAUAAGAGAUAAUUAACGGGAGAUGUAAUUUAAGGGAGGUCACUGGACGUCGAUACUUGGACUGUAGAACUAGAGGUGUUGUCACACGAUAUUACAGUCCUUCGCUGGUCUGUCUUCAGCAGUGUGAGCUCUACUUAAAGCUUGAGGGCUAGGUGCCCCUGCCUCGCCCCACAGCCUUGUAGAAGACCCAGCCUGGAGGCGGGUUUUUUUGUUGCUGUUGCCGCUGUCGGGAACUAAGAAAAGGCUGAGAUCUUUGUUGGGUCAGUAGUGGUGUGGAAGAGGAGCGGUGCGGGACAACAGGAGUGAUUCAUAGGCUGGACUAAAUAUUGAGAGCCGGAGCUCAGAGAGUGACCGUGAACACAGAAGAGCUUGGAAAGUUCACAGAGAGCUUGAAGCCGUCAAGCUGUCUCCUGAAGUGGCUGCACUGCUCUGCUCUGCGUUCCCACCAGCGAUGUAAGGGAGUUCCUGCCGCUCCGCACCCUCUCUAGCACUUGGUGUUGUCAGUGGUUUUGGAUUUUGACCAUUCUAAUAGGUGUGUAGCGGUAUUGUGUGUUGCUUUACAUUUUCCUGAUGACAUAUGCUG